GACGAACGCUGGCGGCGUGCUUAACACAUGCCAGUCGAACGGAAAGGCCCUGCUUUUGUGGGGUGCUCGAGUGGCGAACGGGUGAGUAACACGUGAGUAACCUGCCCUUGACUUUGGGAUAACUUCAGGAAACUGGGGCUAAUACCGGAUAGGAGCUCCUGCUGCAUGGUGGGGGUUGGAAAGUUUCGGCGGUUGUGGAUGGACUCGCGGCUUAUCAGCUUGUUGGUGGGGUAGGGGCUUACCAAGGCUUGGACGGGUAGCCGGCCUGAGAGGGUGACGGGCCCCAUAGGGCUGGGGGACGGACCAGGAGGCAACCGGAAGCAAGGGGGGGGAAUAUUACAGAAUGGGGGGGAGGCUGGUAGAAGAAUCGCCGGAGCGGGAAUGACGGCUUUGGGGUGGAAACCGGUUUGGGCUUAAAACGAGACGUCGUGACGGUAAAUGGUCAAAAAGCCACGGCUAACUACGUG
Molecule: ribosomal RNA, 467 nt
Filed under: uncultured bacterium
Lineage: Bacteria
Description: partial 16S ribosomal RNA
Rfam family: Bacterial small subunit ribosomal RNA
Source: RNAcentral